GAAGAACAACAAGGUUUCACGGCUUGGGCCUGCUCAUGAGCAAGACUUCAAAUUUAACUUAAAAACGUUGUUUUGGCGCCAAGCUGCUGUUUCUUUGAGAGAUCCUGGCCUUUACCUGCUCCCUCCUAUACUGAUGUGGUGUAUGUGGUACUGCUGAGCUUGUAUGUGGUGGAAGCAGAAUUUGUGAGGAUUACUACUGCUCCACUUGUUCCAAGGCUUUUUGCACAACUUGACCAAUACACUGACCAGCUCAUAAAAGUCUUCAAGAAAAAAGGAGGCGCUGCAGUGAAGUAAAUUAGACAAAUUUUGGCCCCAGCCACAAAUAAGGAAACUAUUGAAAAGGGGAGGGAGUGUGUCCUCAGGGCACUACCUUUCUACCUGAAUGAAGACCCAACCAUCCUCUUCAAAGAAUAAUUGCUACAGCUACAGCUGUUCAGAGGAGCUGGAACAAAUUACCCUUGCUGUCUUCACCAUCGAAAAAGCUGAUGUCAGCACUCCUCCAGCCGAUGUGGGUAUAACCAUCUAGGGUGUUCUGCAUGACCUGGAAAACAUGGCCUUUGAAGUACUUCAGAAGCUCUUCCUUCAUCUGUAUGUCAGCAGACUCUUGACCAAGAGAAACACACCACCACACCUCCAACCUCUAUCCUUGAAUAUCCACCUGCAGUGAGAACAUCAGAGCAAACAGGCUCAGAGCUUUUCAGCAGGAUGUUCAGGUGAAGCUUGGAGAUGACGUCACUCUCCAGUGUCAGGUUUCCACAGAUGAAAUAAUCUCAGUGCUGAAGUGGAGCAGAGCUGACCUGAACACAGACGGCUACGUCUACUUCUACAGGAACAAACGCUCCUAUGAAAACUACCAACAUCCAUCUUUUCAUGGUCGAGUGAAGCUGAGGGACCCGGAGAUGAAGGAUGGAGACGUUUCUCUGAUCCUGAAGAAAGUCACGUUUAAUGACACUGGGAUUUAUGAGUGUCACGUAGCAGUGAGGAACCCUGUGAGAAGUAAAAGAGUUCACACUGAGAUCAGUCGCUUCAUCAACCUCACAGUCACAGGUGAAACACAUGAAAGCGUGUCAGAGAAACGAGUCGUGGAAAGAGGAGACGCAGAUGAAAACAUGGAUGGUACUGAAAGGGUCGGAGCUCCAUCUCUUCAGUUUUCUGUGACCAAUUUUGAGGAACUUCCUUCUGACCUAUUGAAAAAACAACAGGGUGUAUGGACUUUGUCAGUGGAUAAUUUUUCCAUCCUGAUGAUCAGAAGAGUGUUUGAGGGUUUCAGAGAUCCUUCAGAUCAACAGUAUUUGUUUGUCACAUGUCUGGACUUGCAGCUGCUCAAACAGGACAAACAAAGGUGGGGGUGAAAAUGUUGAUGCAGGUCACAGAUGUCUGAUAUAAAACAGCUGACAGAAAAUACAGGUUAGUUUAGUCUGCAGCUGUUUGAUACAGACAUACCUUUACUUUGGGAUUUUAAACUUUUACAUUUUUUAUGAUUUGAUUUUUUUUUAUUUCUCAAAUAUUUACAUCUGAGUAACUUUUUACUUCUUUGUAACAAAACUUCAGUCGCUUCCUUUUCACCUACUGAAAAACCGAUGGGACAUACUGACCUCACAGUUUUUUAUCUGUCAGUAGAUCAUUUUAUUUUUUCCACUCUGAUGAUCAGAAGAGUGUUUGAGUGUUUCAGAGAUCCUUCAGAACAACAGUAAGUGUUUAAUAUGACAUCUUUAAGUCUUCUAAGUAAUCUGACAGGUUGACUGAUUUCACAGGCAGUGUUGAGUGGGAGUUUCUCUUUAUAUGUUUGUGUUAGUGGAAAAUGUGAUGGAACUUUCCCUGCAGUGCGAUCAGCUGUGGUCAAUCUUUUUAAUUAUUGCACACAGGACAGCUAAACAGACAGCGAACAUCACUGUCCCACAGUCGGGAGAGCUCUGCCCUUGAGACGCCACAGGUUCCUGCUGACCCAAUGAAAAUGCUGAUGGGGAAUACCAGCCUCACACUUUUCUGUCACUGGAUAAUUUUUCCAUCCUGAUGAUCAGAAGAACAACCAGAAAAACAUCACAGCAAAGUCUGGACAGAACGUCACUCUGACAUGUCGAGCUCCAAACAGCAACAUUGGAGUUAUAGAGUGGAGCAGAACUGACCUGAAGGAAGAAUAUGUCCUUUUGUACCGAGAUGGACACUUAGAUCAAGAUCACCAGCAUCCAUCUUUUAAGAACCGGUCGGAUCUGCAGGACAGACAGAUGAAGGAUGGAGACGUGUCUGUGAUUCUGAAAUAUGUGACGAUUAAUGACACUGGAACAUACAAGUGUUGUGUCCAGAAAGACGGAGACAGUUUGAAGCUCAUCUGCAACAUCACCCUGAGUGUUGAUCCUCCAGGUCAGACAGGAGGAGACACGGAGGAUGGAGGGAAGGAGGAUGGAUCUGUUCUGAAAGUUGGUCUUCCAGUUGGGGUUAUUGUUGCUGCUGCUGUUGUUGUUGUUGUGUGCUACAGACGAUAUAAACAGAGUCUGGAUUCACAUCGUCCUAAUGCAGAACCAUAGACUGAAAUGUCUGAGAGCUUCCUGAACUCUGAAUCUUCUGCUGCUGAACACAAAGACAAAUGAUCUGAAAACAGACACCAUCACUUCAGAAGGAUCCACGAUUUCACUCUAAUAUUUGACAAUGAACCGUUUCAUCGUCAUCCUCUGCAGAAAACAGCAUAACUGCUUGAUAAUGUCUGACAGCAGUUUGAAGAGGAAAUGGAUUCUGUUCUGUUCUUCACUCAUCACCUACCUGACAGCUGACACCUCACACCUGUUUCUCACCUGCAGGUCAAGGAGGAGACACAGAGGACGGGUCUGUUGGACUAAUAGUUGGUCUCUUAGUUUCUGCUAUGGUUUCUGUUGUUGUUGUUGUUGGUUUUCUGAUCUAUAGAAAACAUCAGAAAGGUGUUUUAUAACUGAGCUGUUAAAUCUCACUGUCACAUGACACAUGACUUGUUGAUCAGCUCCAGCUGAAUGAAUGUUAUAAUGAACAGUGUUAUGAAAUUAUUUCCAUGGAGCUGCAGAGUCAGAUGUUUCCUCUCCGAUCUGUGAAACUUUGAACUUUUCCUACAGUGAAGGAAAAUCUUCAGUCUGUUGUUGCAGUUUAAACCAGAUCACACAUUAGUUUAACAUUUAACAAUGUUUUUUGUGACUUUUCUUGUUCAUUUCUUAUAAAUUUUGAAAGAUCAGUCCUGAAUUGUUUCUAUUAAUUUUCUUUAAUUCUUAAAUUUUUUGUUUUCUGUGGCCGUAAAAGAUGAAAGAAGUUUUCUGACCUUUUCCUGCAGAUUUUAUCUGACCUGAAUGAGUCCAAACAGACCACUGAACAUGUGUGAAGGAAAAAAACACACAAUAAAAAUGCUCUUUGAAACCGUUUCCC
Long non-coding RNA from Oreochromis aureus, 3384 nucleotides. Lineage: Eukaryota; Metazoa; Chordata; Actinopteri; Cichliformes; Cichlidae. The record is from Ensembl.